GACAGAGGGUGCGAACGUUGUUCGGAAUGACUGGGCGUAAAGCGCAUGUAGGCGGCCGGACAGGUCGGAGGUGAAAGCCCCUGGCUCAACCAGGGAAGUGCCUUCGAAACCGUUCGGCUAGAGUUUCGGAGAGGAAGGCGGAAUUCUCGGUGUAGAGGUGAAAUUCGUAGAUAUCGAGAGGAACACCGGUGGCGAAAGCGGCCUUCUGGACGGAGACUGACGCUGAGAUGCGAAAGCGUGGGGAGCAAACAGG
RNAcentral lists this ribosomal RNA (253 nucleotides) under uncultured bacterium. RNAcentral's name for it is "partial 16S ribosomal RNA". It matches the Rfam family "Bacterial small subunit ribosomal RNA", at positions 524 to 776 of the family's 1533-position model. The record is from RNAcentral.